RNAcentral lists this ribosomal RNA (253 nucleotides) under uncultured bacterium. RNAcentral describes it as "partial 16S ribosomal RNA". It matches the Rfam family "Bacterial small subunit ribosomal RNA", at positions 524 to 776 of the family's 1533-position model. The record is from RNAcentral.
UACGUAGGGGGCGAGCGUUGUCCGGAUUUAUUGGGCGUAAAGAGCGUGUAGGCGGCCAGGUAGGUCCGUUGUGAAAACUCGAGGCCCAACCUCGAGACGUCGAUGGAAACCAUCUGGCUAGAGUCCGGAAGAGGAGAGUGGAAUUCCCGGUGUAGCGGUGAAAUGCGCAGAUAUCGGGAGGAACACCUAUGGCGAAGGCAGCUCGCUGGGACGUUACUGACGCUGAGACGCGAAAGCGUGGGGAGCAAACAGG